ACGGGAGGCAGCAGUAGGGAAUAUUGCACAAUGGGGGAAACCCUGAUGCAGCGACGCCGCGUGAGCGAAGAAGUAUCUCGGUAUGUAAAGCUCUAUCAGCAGGGAAGAAGAUGACGGUACCUGACUAAGAAGCACCGGCUAAAUACGUGCCAGCAGCCGCGGUAAUACGUAUGGUGCAAGCGUUAUCCGGAUUUACUGGGUGUAAAGGGAGCGUAGACGGAAGAGCAAGUCUGGAGUGAAAGCCCGGGGCUCAACCCCGGGACUGCUUUGGAAACUGUUUAUCUAGAGUGCCGGAGAGGCAAGCGGAAUUCCUAGUGUAGCGGUGAAAUGCGUAGAUAUUAGGAGGAACACCAGUGGCGAAGGCGGCUUGCUGGACGGUAACUGACGUUGAGGCUCGAAAGCGUGGGGAGCAAACAGGAUUAGAUACCCUGGUA
RNAcentral lists this ribosomal RNA (434 nucleotides) under uncultured bacterium. Its description in RNAcentral is "bacterial SSU rRNA". It matches the Rfam family "Bacterial small subunit ribosomal RNA", at positions 341 to 792 of the family's 1533-position model. The record is from RNAcentral.